GAUGAAGAACGUAGCGAAAUGCGAUACUUGGUGUGAAUUGCAGAAUCCCGUGAACCAUCGAGUCUUUGAACGCAAGUUGCGCCCGAAGCCAUUAGGCCGAGGGCACGCCUGCCUGGGUGUCACACAUCGUUACCCCAACGCAAACAUGUAACAAUGUUGCUGCGCGGGGUGUAUGCUGACCUCCCGCGAGCACCCGCCUCGUGGUUGGUUGAAAUCUGGGUUCAUGGCCGACUUCGCCGUGAUAAAAUGGUGGAUGAGCCACGCUCGAGACCAAUCACGUGCGAGCCGGUCAGUUCUGGACCCAUCGACGACCCUUUGCGUGCACGCACGCUCCCAACGAGACCUCAGGUCAGGCGGGGCUACCCGCUGAGUUUAAGCAUAUCAAUAAGCGGAGGA
RNAcentral lists this unclassified non-coding RNA (396 nucleotides) under soil metagenome. RNAcentral's name for it is "partial contains 5.8S ribosomal RNA, internal transcribed spacer 2, and large subunit ribosomal RNA". The stretch from base 1 to 122 matches the Rfam family "5.8S ribosomal RNA", at positions 35 to 154 of the family's 154-position model. The record is from RNAcentral.